AACAUGCAUCUGGCCUAAAUUGAGCAGACUGCCCAAGAGGACUCUGGAGUAAAAAGAAAUGGCUUCAAUGACCAGAAUGGAGUUUCUAUCUCGACACUGGACUUCUUAAAAAAUACGUGUUUUGCUGAUUUCCCCCAAUCACUGGAAAAAUGUGAAAACUUUGCAUAAAAGUAUAAAGAAAGAAAA
Miniopterus natalensis is the source of this 186-nucleotide non-coding RNA. The record is from RefSeq and is a predicted model, not a curated record. NCBI's taxonomy places the organism in Eukaryota, Metazoa, Chordata, Mammalia, Chiroptera, Miniopteridae.